AGAGCGGGCCGGACGGCGGCGCGCCCCAUGGGCGUGAGGAAAGUCCGGGCUUCACAGGGCGGGAUACCUGCUAACGGCAGGCCGGGGCGACCCGAGGGAAAGUGCAACAGAAAGAUACCGCCGCGUUUUGCGGUAAGGAUGGAAAGGCGAGGUAAGAGCUCACCGGGAUGCGGGCAACCGCAUUGCCAUGUAAACCCUAUCCGAAGCAACGCCAACUGGGACAAUGCGGCUGCCCGCCGGGUCCCGAAAGGCGGCUGGAGCCGCGCGGCGACGCGCAGCCAAGAAAGAUCGUCGUCCACGACAGAACCCGGCUUACAGGCUCCCUCUCUAU
Non-coding RNA from Anaerotruncus colihominis DSM 17241, 331 nucleotides. Lineage: Bacteria; Bacillati; Bacillota; Clostridia; Eubacteriales; Oscillospiraceae. The record is from Rfam.